CAUGCCGUAAACGAUGAGUGCUAAGUGUUAGGGGGUAUCGACCCCCCCUGUGCCGCAGUAAACACAAUAAGUACUCCGCCUGGGAAGUACGAUCGCAAGAUUAAAACUCAAAGGAAUUGACGGGGACCCGCACAAGCAGCGGAGCAUGUGGUUUAAUUCGAAGCAACGCGAAGAACCUUACCUGGACUUGACAUCCCCUGAAUAACUCGUAAUGGAGGAAGCCCUUCGGGGCAGGGAGACAGGUGG
This 246-nucleotide ribosomal RNA is filed under the name uncultured bacterium. RNAcentral describes it as "partial 16S ribosomal RNA". It matches the Rfam family "Bacterial small subunit ribosomal RNA", at positions 796 to 1041 of the family's 1533-position model. The record is from RNAcentral.